UCUCUCUUAAGACGUUAGUAAAAUACAUUACCUAACCUUGUCAAGGUUAAAUUAUAGGUUUAAACCCUUUACGACUUAA
RNAcentral lists this transfer RNA (79 nucleotides) under Astrochelys radiata. Its description in RNAcentral is "tRNA-Asp". The stretch from base 9 to 78 matches the Rfam family "tRNA". Rfam says of the family: Transfer RNA (tRNA) molecules are approximately 80 nucleotides in length. Their secondary structure includes four short double-helical elements and three loops (D, anti-codon, and T loops). The record is from RNAcentral. Lineage: Eukaryota; Metazoa; Chordata; Testudines; Testudinidae.